CACACUGGUAUUUGCGCCAUCGUGCGAAGGCUUCUUAUUGAAGCUCAUGUGAUUAGAUGGCAAUCUGCUGGCUGGUCUGCAAGCUUAGCAGCGACUCCCAUCAAUUACAAAAAUGGCAGGGAAGAACCACUGCCAGCAAAAUGCCUACAGAGCUGUCCUGUUAAACAGAUCGCCGGUGCAGCAGUCACAUACACAGUCGUUCUGGUUCAAACUAAUGAGAGCAUGGGAAACACGUGCCUAAAAUUGUAAUCGGCCCAGCUGCACUGAAGAAGCAGUCACGGGCAUCCACAAGUGACAACUCAAAGGGCCAACUACUGAAAUGUGAUGAAUUGACAUCCUUUCAUACCUCAGCAAUGAAUUAAGAAGAACCAACAGAGCUCACCAUGCUAUGUGCACGAAAUAAACUACUCUUGCAUUGC
Long non-coding RNA from Rhipicephalus microplus (southern cattle tick), 419 nucleotides. The record is from RefSeq and is a predicted model, not a curated record. Lineage: Eukaryota; Metazoa; Arthropoda; Arachnida; Ixodida; Ixodidae.